UACGGGGGGGGCAAGCGUUGUUCGGAAUUACUGGGCGUAAAGGGCUUGUAGGUGGCCAACUAAGUCAGACGUGAAAUCCCUCGGCUUAACCGGGGAACUGCGUCUGAUACUGGAUGGCUGGAGUGUGGGAGAGGGAUGCGGAAUUCCAGGUGUAGCGGUGAAAUGCGUAGAUAUCUGGAGGAACACCGGUGGCGAAGGCGGCAUCCUGGAGCAUUACUGACACUGAAAAGCGAAAGCCAGGGGAGCAAACGGG
RNAcentral lists this ribosomal RNA (253 nucleotides) under uncultured bacterium. RNAcentral describes it as "partial 16S ribosomal RNA". It matches the Rfam family "Bacterial small subunit ribosomal RNA", at positions 524 to 776 of the family's 1533-position model. The record is from RNAcentral.